Molecule: small nuclear RNA, 139 nt
Organism: Callithrix jacchus (white-tufted-ear marmoset)
Lineage: Eukaryota; Metazoa; Chordata; Mammalia; Primates; Cebidae
Gene: U4
Rfam family: U4 spliceosomal RNA
About the family: U4 small nuclear RNA (U4 snRNA) is a component of the major U2-dependent spliceosome. The structure of U4 snRNA from yeast and human has been reported.
Source: Ensembl
AGCUUUGCGCAGUGGCAGUAUCGUAGCCAAUGAUGUUUAUUGGAGGCGCGAUUACUGCUAAUUGAAAACUUUUCCCAAUACCCUGCCAUGACAAUUUGAAAUAGUUAGCAUUGGCAAUUUUUGACAGUCUCUACAGAGA